AGUGGCGAACGGGUGAGUAAUGCAUCGGAACGUACCGUGUAGUGGGGGAUAACGUAGCGAAAGUUACGCUAAUACCGCAUACGCCCUGAGGGGGAAAGUGGGGGACCGCAAGGCCUCACGCUAUAUGAGCGGCCGAUGUCGGAUUAGCUAGUUGGUAGGGUAAAGGCCUACCAAGGCGACGAUCCGUAGCGGGUCUGAGAGGAUGAUCCGCCACACUGGGACUGAGACACGGCCCACACUCCUACGGGAGGCAGCAGUGGGGAAUUUUGGACAAUGGGCGCAAGCCUGAUCCAGCCAUGCCGCGUGAGUGAAGAAGGCCUUCGGGUUGUAAAGCUCUUUCAGACGGAAAGAAAUCUCUCGGGAUAACACCCUGGGAGGAUGACGGUACCGUAAGAAGAAGCACCGGCUAACUACGUGCCAGCAGCCGCGGUAAUACGUAGGGUGCGAGCGUUAAUCGGAAUUACUGGGCGUAAAGCGUGCGCAGGCGGUGAUGUAAGACAGAUGUGAACUCCCCGGGCUCAACCUGGGAACUGCAUUAGUGACUGCAUAGCUGGAGUACGGCAGAGGGGGAUGGAAUUCCGCGUGUAGCAGUGAAAUGCGUAGAUAUGCGGAGGAACACCGAUGGCGAAUGCAAUCCCCUGGGUCCUGUACUGACGCUCAUGCACGAAAGCGUGG
RNAcentral lists this ribosomal RNA (675 nucleotides) under uncultured Zoogloea sp. Its description in RNAcentral is "bacterial SSU rRNA". It matches the Rfam family "Bacterial small subunit ribosomal RNA", at positions 94 to 764 of the family's 1533-position model. The record is from RNAcentral. Lineage: Bacteria; Pseudomonadati; Pseudomonadota; Betaproteobacteria; Rhodocyclales; Zoogloeaceae.